CCCCNUCUGAACAUCCGUGGUCUCGCCUCCUUGCGGUAGGCUAACGGCUUCUGGAGCAACUCACUCCCAUGGUGUGACGGGCGGUGUGUACAAGGCCCGGGAACGUAUUCACCGCAGCAUAGCUGAUCUGCGAUUACUAGCGAUUCCGACUUCACGAAGUCNAGUUGCAGACUUCGAUCCGGACUGGGAUCGGCUUUCUGGGAUUGGCUCCACCUCGCGGUAUUGCAACCCUCUGUACCGACCAUUGUAGUACGUGUGUAGCCCUGGCCGUAAGGGCCAUGAUNACUUGACGUCAUCCCCACCUUCCUCCGGUUUGUCACCGGCAGUCUCCUUAGAGUUCCCACCAUUACGUGCUGGCAACUAANGACAAGGGUUGCGCUCGUUGCGGGACUUAACCCAACAUCUCACGACACGAAGCUGACNACAGCCAUGCAGCACCUGUGUUCUGAUUCCCGAAGGCACUCCCGCAUCUCUNCAGGAUCCAAACUUUUCAAGGCCNGGUUAGGUUCUCCCCUUUCCUCCAAAUAAACCNCCUNCUCCCCCCCCUGGUGCNGGCCCCCNUCCAAUUCCCUUUGAAUUUUCAAUCUUGCGAACCGUACUCCCCCAGGC
RNAcentral lists this ribosomal RNA (609 nucleotides) under Amazonian soil bacterium M34. Its description in RNAcentral is "partial 16S ribosomal RNA". The record is from RNAcentral.